This 554-nucleotide ribosomal RNA is filed under the name Exophiala equina. RNAcentral describes it as "eukaryotic LSU rRNA". The stretch from base 200 to 354 matches the Rfam family "5.8S ribosomal RNA". Lineage: Eukaryota; Fungi; Ascomycota; Eurotiomycetes; Chaetothyriales; Herpotrichiellaceae. The record is from RNAcentral.
AUCAUUAACGAGUUAGGGUCUCUCUGGCCCGACCUCCCAACCCUUUGUCUACUUGACCAUCGUUGCUUCGGCGAGCCCGUCCUCAGGACCGCCGGAGGGACCUUUACUGGCCCUCUGGUCCGCGCUCGUCGGUAGCCCAACCUUUAAAAUCUUUAACUAAACGUGCCUUAAUCUAAGUACAAUUAUUAAAUAAAAGCAAAACUUUCAACAACGGAUCUCUUGGUUCUGGCAUCGAUGAAGAACGCAGCGAAAUGCGAUAAGUAAUGCGAAUUGCAGAAUUCCAGUGAGUCAUCGAAUCUUUGAACGCACAUUGCGCCCUUUGGUAUUCCGAAGGGCAUGCCUGUUCGAGCGUCAUUAUCACCCCUCAAGCCCCUGGCUUGGUGUUGGACGGUUUGGUGGAGGUCCCCUCGGGGGCUCCUGCCCCUCCCAAAGACAAUGACGGCGGCCUCGUUGGACCCCCGGUACACUGAGUUCUUCACGGGACACGUAUCGGACACAUGGGUUUACGGGACACGGUCUGCCUCCCCUCAGGGAGAAUCUUUCUAAGGUUGACC